CCAGACUCCUACGGGAGGCAGCAGUGGGGGAUAUUGCACAAUGGGGGGAACCCUGAUGCAGCGACGCCGCGUGGGUGAAGAAGCGCCUCGGCGCGUAAAGCCCUGUCAGCAGGGAAGAAAAUGACGGUACCUGACUAAGAAGCCCCGGCUAACUACGUGCCAGCAGCCGCGGUAAUACGUAGGGGGCAAGCGUUAUCCGGAUUUACUGGGUGUAAAGGGGGCGCAGACGGCAGCGCAAGCCAGGAGUGAAAGCCCGGGGCCCAACCCCGGGACUGCUCUUGGAACUGCGCGGCUGGAGUGCAGGAGGGGCAGGCGGAAUUCCUGGUGUAGCGGUGAAAUGCGUAGAUAUUAGGAGGAACACCAGUGGCGAAGGCGGCUUUCUGGACUGUAACUGACACUGAGGUACGAAAGCGUGGGGAGCAAACAGGAUUAGAUACCCGUGUAC
RNAcentral lists this ribosomal RNA (445 nucleotides) under uncultured bacterium. Its description in RNAcentral is "partial 16S ribosomal RNA". It matches the Rfam family "Bacterial small subunit ribosomal RNA", at positions 331 to 793 of the family's 1533-position model. The record is from RNAcentral.